CCUACGGGCGGCAGCAGUGAGGAAUAUUGGUCAAUGGGCGCGAGCCUGAACCAGCCAAGCAGCGUGAAGGAUGGCUGCCCUACGGGUUGUAAACUUCUUUUAUAAAGGAAUAAAGUGAGGUACGUGUGCCUUUUUGUAUGUCCUUUAUGAUUCAGGAUCGGCUAACUCCGUGCCAGCAGCCGCGGUAAUACGGAGGAUCCGAGCGUUAUCCGGAUUUAUUGGGUUUAAAGGGAGCGUAGGUGGGUUGUUAAGUCAGUUGUGAAAGUUUGCGGCUCAACCGUAAAAUUGCAAUUGAUACUGGCAGCCUUGAGGGCAGUAGAGGUAGGCGGAAUUCGUGGUGUAGCGGUGAAAUGCUUAGAUAUCACGAAGAACACCGAUUGCGAAGGCAGCCUACUAAACUGCCACUGACAUUGAGGCUCGAAAGUGUGGGUAGCAAACAGGAUUAGAUACCCGGGUAGUC
RNAcentral lists this ribosomal RNA (460 nucleotides) under uncultured bacterium. RNAcentral's name for it is "partial 16S ribosomal RNA". It matches the Rfam family "Bacterial small subunit ribosomal RNA", at positions 338 to 795 of the family's 1533-position model. The record is from RNAcentral.